CUGAAACACCACUUUACCUGAGAUGGAAAAAAGUUCUCAUCACAUAACCAUUUUCAGUCAGAUGACUUAUGAACUCCAGUUAUCUUACUCCAUAAAGAGACCACUGCUCUAAAGCAAGAAAGAAUUCUAUUAGCUGGUAUGGAUCAGCCUGUGAUCACGUGCUCAGAUAACUGCAUUCUUUGGAACAUGGAAGAAUGGAAAAGUCUUUCCUAGACAACUUUUACAGGCAACUCAAGUCCCUUGGAAGCACCCACUAUUUAGCACAUGGAGCUUAAGCUGAUUCUUCAAGAUGAUUUUAUCUUUUUCUGUGUCCUGAAUUUUAACAGCUACUCAGAUUAUUAAACUAGUAAAACUGCAUACUGGAAGUCAGCCAGAGCAACAAGGCUGUGAUAAUGUGUUUUCUUACUUCCCACAAGUGUUAGAGAUUUCAGUUUUUAUCAACAAUUCAAAACAUCAGCUUUCAAUUUAGCUGUGACAUCUCCAAACACUAAAAAAAUCCUGCUGUUUUAAACUUCUGCUGUUAAACUGUUUUAAUAUUCAGCUUUCUAACAAAGAUUUUUUUUAGCACAAACUAAAAUACUAAGGCUGUUUGGUGAAGUUUUUUUGUCAUUUAAAAAAAAGGAUUUACUGAAUGUGAAGCUGAAUUUCUGCAUUUAAAGAUAAAUUUGAUGAAUAUUAUUAUACACAGUCUCAAGGUUAGAUUACAGUUCCAUCUCUGGCAUAGUAUAAACAGCCUGAAUUUCCUUAGUUACCCUUGAAUAUGAGUAGAACCUAAUAAUUCCACAGAUGUCGCCAUUAACUGCUAAAACACAUCUACAGCUAAAAACGUACCAACUUCUGAUAUUAUAAACUUAAAACCUGAACAACCUGAAUUAAUUGUUCAUGCACAUGCAGAUAAAAAAUAUGACACACUGUGGAAAAAGAGGAAUCUUAGAAAAAAGGCAAGAUAUUCUGAUCAUGCUUCAGCUUUUCUAAGCAUUAUACAGUAUUUUUUCCUUCUAUAAGGAAAUUAUUUGUAAAUUUUAAAUGUAUAAUU
Cyanistes caeruleus (blue tit) is the source of this 1036-nucleotide non-coding RNA. The record is from RefSeq and is a predicted model, not a curated record. Lineage: Eukaryota; Metazoa; Chordata; Aves; Passeriformes; Paridae.